Long non-coding RNA from Cyprinus carpio carpio, 1992 nucleotides. The record is from Ensembl. Lineage: Eukaryota; Metazoa; Chordata; Actinopteri; Cypriniformes; Cyprinidae.
CAAUGCUGCCCACACACAUCUCUCUGACAGCCUAUGGGAGGGGGAGAGCGAGUAGGAGAGAGGGGGAAGAGAUGGAAAAUAGAGAGAGAAACAUAGAACAAGUGAUCGUUCGGGCCUUAAUGGUGCACUAGCUUGAGCUUGAGGUUAGCAUGCAAAGCCCUCGCUGCCCAUGAGGUCCAAGCAAGGAGGUAUCCAAUACCUGGAAAAUGCAAUCCGUUAGCAUUUCCAUUCAGCUCAGCAGCAGUUGCUUGGCUGGAGCAACUGCACCAGAAGUAUGCGACCUGAAUUGUGAAUGUCACAUCUGUCUCCAUUGCCGCGGAAAGCUCAUCUCUCCUACGCUGAUCCGAGACCAGCCUCUCCAGAUAAACCUAAACAAGAGCUAUUGUGAAGGUAAUCUUAAAACCAGUCUGAGAUCAGGGUGAGAGACUGACUUCCACCAGUACCACCUCCAUAGCAAUGGAAACAGGAUCAGCACAAGAAAGACCCUUGUCCUCGCAUAAAAUACGAGACUUCUCAGUGGAGUGCAAAAACAAACACUCCCACCCUUUCAACGAGGCAUUGAGGCACAGAUUAUGAGGCAGUGCACAACACAAACCAUGUUCCAUGAACAGACAAUACCUCAGAGACCACCCUGAGGACAUUUAAACUCUGGAGCCCCCAACGAGGCUUCUUUGUCAUGUUUACACAAACCCAAACUCAACUACAUGAUUUUUGUUGUUUUCUAAAACCUAGUGAGCUGCUUCCAUUUUGCCUUCAAAGAUAUGUCUAAGGCAGUCUCUUUUAACUUUUCAAUGAACACACACACAUACACACACACACACACACACACACACACACACACACACACACACACACAUAUAUAUAUAUAGAGAGAGAGAGAGAGAUUUUUUUUUUUAAAAAAACAUAUAUAUAUAAUAUAAAAUAUAUAUAUGUUCAAUUAUUACAAUAUUUUUGAACAUACCUUUUCUUUUUAUAUUAAAAGUUGCAAAUCAGUUACUUGUGAGGUUCUGUUUAGGAUACUUCUUUAGGAGGCUAUAUAGGAAACAAGGCAGCUCACUAGGAUUUGGAACAUAGUUAAUGACUUUUCAAUGAUGUGUUCCCCCCAGUCCUAGCGUGACUGACCUUCACUGUCACGUGUCUCAACCACUGAGGUCUUGUGGGUCCUGGUAUCAUGACUAAGCUUGAUUGUAUGAAAAGAGAGUGGGCAUUAGCAUUGGUAUUAUUAAAGCCCUGGGCAUCACGGAGGAGCAGCUGGCCGUGAAUGCUCCAGCGAGACUCGGCCGGGCUCUGGAGCUCGCUGCAAAUGGACUGAUCUGGAAUGAAGGGUCCUUUGAACAUCUGCUAAUUUUCCAGCAGCGCUGCUGUAUGAUCUGAGGCCUAGAGAUGAGGGACAUUGGGGGUUGGUUGGUUCAUCAAAACUGCUGUGAAAGCUGGAGAUUCCAGAUGAUGUCCAUAGUCUAGUCUAGUCUAUGUCCAGACAUAGUGUGUGGCAUGCUUUUAAAGUGACAGAUCACCCAAACAUUUUGGUUCAAAUCUGUAUGACCAUCUUUCAUCUGUAGAACAUCAAAGUAGAUAUUUUGAGAAAUGUCUCAGUGUUUUUUUUUUGGCUAAAGUGGAAGUCAAAGGUAAACAAAAUUGUUUGGUUACCAACAUUCUACAAAAUGUUUUUGUAUUUUGUGUUCCAUAGAAAAAUGAAAGUCAUACAAAUUUGGAAUGAUGUGAGGGUGAGUAAUUGAUUUUGGAUGGACUAUCCCUUAAAAAGUGAUCAUAAUACAUAUUAUUUAAAUAAUAUUACACAUUUCUGAGUAAAAUAUGAUAUUCAUUCAGAAAAAAAAAAUGAAUGAAUGAUUGAAUGUAGAAUGAGAUUUGACAAAAACAGUUCUUUAGAAUAACGUGCCAAUUAAUUGUGCAUAAUAAAAAUGGGUAUUAAUAUUCAUGUUGACUUUUAAAAUGGAUUUCAUAAUCUGUAAUACAUUUCUUUGCAUAAACAGC